GACGAACGCUGGCGGCGUGCUUAACACAUGCAAGUCGAACGCGCCUGUCCUCUGGGUUUCUGGGGGGUGGGUGAGUGGCGAACGGGUGAGUAACACUUGAGUAACCUGCCCCCUUCUUCGGGAUAACGGUCUGAAAGGGCUGCUAAUACCGGGUAUUCACUGGUCUCCGCAUGGGGUCUGGUGGAAAGGUUUUUUUCUGGUGGGGGAUGGGCUCGCGGCCUAUCAGCUUGUUGGUGGGGUGAUGGCCCACCAAGGCUUUGACGGGUAGCCGGCCUGAGAGGGUGACCGGUCACAUUGGGACUGAGAUACGGCCCAGACUCCUACGGGAGGCAGCAGUGGGGAAUAUUGCACAAUGGGCGCAAGCCUGAUGCAGCGACGCCGCGUGAGGGAUGGAGGCCUUCGGGUUGUGAACCUCUUUCGCCCGUGGUCAAGCCGCGACGUGGGUCGUGGUGAGGGUAGUGGGUAAAGAAGCGCCGGCUAACUACGUG
This 488-nucleotide ribosomal RNA is filed under the name uncultured bacterium. RNAcentral's name for it is "partial 16S ribosomal RNA". It matches the Rfam family "Bacterial small subunit ribosomal RNA", at positions 28 to 507 of the family's 1533-position model. The record is from RNAcentral.